AUUACCAUGCAAACUUCCACCGAAAAUUGGUUUGAACGAGAUCUAGUAAGUAGUUUUUUUUUAAUACGUCAUAAAUCGGGGGGGACACACAUUUUACAACUUUGGAAGUGUCUCUCGCGCAAACUAUUCAGUUUAGAAGAAAAUGAUAUUAGAAACCUCAAUAUCAUUUUUGAAGACCUAUCCAUAGAUACCCCACACGUAUGGGUUUGAUGAAAAAAAAUUUUUUGAGUUUCAGUUCUAUGUAU
This is a long non-coding RNA of Cydia fagiglandana, 245 nucleotides long. RefSeq lists it as uncharacterized. The transcript is spliced from 2 exons. The record is from RefSeq and is a predicted model, not a curated record. Lineage: Eukaryota; Metazoa; Arthropoda; Insecta; Lepidoptera; Tortricidae.